This 254-nucleotide ribosomal RNA is filed under the name uncultured bacterium. Its description in RNAcentral is "partial 16S ribosomal RNA". It matches the Rfam family "Bacterial small subunit ribosomal RNA", at positions 524 to 776 of the family's 1533-position model. The record is from RNAcentral.
CACGUAGGGAGCAAGCGUUGUCCGGAUUUAUUGGGCGUAAAGAGCUCGUAGGUGGUUCGGUAAGUCAGGUGUGAAACCUCCAGGCUCAACCUGGAGACGCCACUUGAUACUGCUGUGACUGGAGUCCGGUAGGGGAGCGUGGAAUUCUCGGUGUAGCGGUGAAAUGCGUAGAUAUCGAGAGGAACACCUGCGGCGAAGGCGGGUUGCUGGGCUGACACUGACGCUGAUGUGCGAAAGCUAGGGGAGCGAACGGG